Molecule: ribosomal RNA, 301 nt
Filed under: uncultured bacterium
Lineage: Bacteria
Description: partial 16S ribosomal RNA
Rfam family: Bacterial small subunit ribosomal RNA
Source: RNAcentral
CAGCCGCCGCGGGAAUACGUAGGUCCCGAGCGUUGUCCGGAUUUAUUGGGCGUAAAGCGAGCGCAGGCGGUUAGAUAAGUCUGAAGUUAAAGGCUGUGGCUUAACCAUAGUACGCUUUGAAAACUGUUUAACUUGAGUGCAAGAGGGGAGAGUGGAAUUCCAUGUGUAGCGGUGAAAUGCGUAGAUAUAUGGAGGAACACCGGUGGCGAAAGCGGCUCUCUGGCUUGUAACUGACGCUGAGGCUCGAAAGCGUGGGGAGCAAACAGGAUUAGAUACCCCAGUAGUCCCUGUCUCUUAUACA